CCUACGGGAGGCAGCAGUGGGGAAUAUUGCACAAUGGGGGGAACCCUGAUGCAGCGACGCCGCGUGAGCGAAGAAGGUUUUCGAAUCGUAAAGCUCUGUCCUAUGAGAAGAUAAUGACGGUAUCAUAGGAGGAAGCCCCGGCUAAAUACGUGCCAGCAGCCGCGGUAAUACGUAUGGGGCGAGCGUUGUCCGGAAUUAUUGGGCGUAAAGGGUACGUAGGCGGUUUUUUAAGUCAGGUGUGAAAGCGUGAGGCUUAACCUCAUUAAGCACUUGAAACUGGAAGACUUGAGUGAAGGAGAGGAAAGUGGAAUUCCUAGUGUAGCGGUGAAAUGCGUAGAUAUUAGGAGGAAUACCGGUGGCGAAGGCGACUUUCUGGACUUUUACUGACGCUCAGGUACGAAAGCGUGGGGAGCAAACAGGAUUAGAUACCCGAGUAGUC
RNAcentral lists this ribosomal RNA (439 nucleotides) under uncultured Parvimonas sp. Its description in RNAcentral is "bacterial SSU rRNA". It matches the Rfam family "Bacterial small subunit ribosomal RNA", at positions 338 to 795 of the family's 1533-position model. The record is from RNAcentral. Lineage: Bacteria; Bacillati; Bacillota; Tissierellia; Tissierellales; Peptoniphilaceae.